RNAcentral lists this ribosomal RNA (245 nucleotides) under uncultured Longilinea sp. RNAcentral describes it as "partial 16S ribosomal RNA". It matches the Rfam family "Bacterial small subunit ribosomal RNA", at positions 524 to 768 of the family's 1533-position model. Lineage: Bacteria; Bacillati; Chloroflexota; Anaerolineae; Anaerolineales; Anaerolineaceae. The record is from RNAcentral.
AACGUAGGAGACGAGCGUUAUCCGGAUUUACUGGGCGUAAAGCGCGUGCAGGCGGCACGGAAAGUUGGAUGUGAAAGCUCCCGGCUUAACUGGGAGAGGUCGUUCAAAACUACCGAGCUAGAGUAUGGGAGAGGGAAGCGGAAUUCCGGGUGUAGUGGUGAAAUGCGUAGAUAUCCGGAGGAACACCAGUGGCGAAAGCGGCUUCCUGGCCCGAGACUGACGCUCAGACGCGAAAGCUAGGGUAG